ACACCAAAUUAAAUUAGAAGACAAUCAUAUCGAGAGCACACUGCCACUGCAAGUAGGAAAGCUAGCGCAUCACAAUGGCGGCCAGAACCAGCGUGGUUGUGCUUUGCUUCGUUGUCGCCUCCGCCCUUCUCGUGGCCUCGUCAUUUGCUGCCCGUACUCCAACCUUUGAAUCGAGAAGGGAGACGAGGGAGACGGUUGCAGGACGAACCGUGAGGAAUAUGCCAGUGAUCAUCCACCACCCGGAGAUACCAAGCAACUCACGAGCCGCGGUGCCGGUGAAAGUGACCGUCGGCGUCGACCCAGUGACCGCCCACCUGCAUCCGCAGCAUCCUCAGCCUUACGUUCCGUCGCCGCCAUAAAGCCUGCAGCUGCUGCAGUUGUGCGCGCGAACGAACAGAGAUGAAUGAUCUAGUAUACAUGCAAGAAAUAAAUAAAGCGUGGACAUGGCAAUGUGCAUGCAGUAUAGUUCGCGUGUAUACAAGCUCAAUUAACUACAUUAACGCUGUAGAAGUGCUACGCAUAUAUACGUCCAAAUCAAAGCUGCUACACUGCUAGCUGCAACAAUAUAUGCGUACACGUACGUGUAGUAGUAACGUAUUCCCUCCGUUCUUUUUUAUUUGUCGUAUUUUAGUUUAAAAUAAACUAGCAUGCGAUAAGUAUUCGAGAAUAGAGUCAGUAUUAUAUAACUUUUUACACCA
This is a long non-coding RNA of Zea mays, 698 nucleotides long. RefSeq lists it as uncharacterized. Lineage: Eukaryota; Viridiplantae; Streptophyta; Magnoliopsida; Poales; Poaceae. The transcript has 2 exons. The record is from RefSeq and is a predicted model, not a curated record.